AUGAUUCCAACAUUACGCACCCACAUUCUUAAUUUGAUGAUAUUAUUUUAGUAUUAGAAUCCAUAAUUCCAUAUCAUUUUAACUUUUUUUUUACAAAAAAUAGCUUUAAUAGGUUAAAAUAUUUUUAGUUGUUAGGUUUUUUAUUUUAGGGGGGGGAGGAAAAUCAGUGGGGAUUAAACCCGCACUAGGUUGUGCUAAAAAAAUAUUAGAAUCCAAUUCAUAAUUUCACAAUAUCUCUUUUCAUAAACGAUAUACCAAAACAGAGCCAAUGAAUUUAAAGAAUAUAUCUGUGGAAAUUCGAAUUCAAGUUGAUAUUCCAAACCUUAAUUUACUUUCCAUUAGACCAAUCAUUAAAGUUAAACAAGUAAAAUUCUAAAUCAACCAUAAUAGGAGUCGAACCCACAAAUUUUUUUUUAACUAUUUCUCGAUUUAUGCGUGUGAUCAUUGUGCAAGGACAAUGAUAAUCCUUUCAUCAUACAAUUGAAAUUGAAGAAAGGAAAAGUCGAGUUUGGAACCUUGUGUGGAUGAGUAAACUAAAAAACAAUUGAUGUUAAGUAAAAAACUUUGUCAUUAAGCUUUGUAUUUUGAAAUGCAGUCUAAUCCAAACCAGUUAGAAACGACCAUACGCGUGCGUUAGGAUGCAUGCUUAUCUGAACUGCAUGAACCCAUGUGUCCAGAAAAGCUGAUGAUCUGCCAUGCGACAACUAAAUCUUUCCUCAUAAUAUAAAUAUCUAUAAUAUUUGAUUGGAAAUUUGAAACCCUACCAACACCAUCCAUCAUCAAGUAACCCAGUUUUUUCAUCAUGCAUGUUGGAGCGUGGGAGUACUGUUUCUGCAUUUUCAUGUCUUAUAAUUCGAGGGAUGGCCUCACAUCAAUUAUUACACCCAUCCAUGAGACAUGUCGGCCUUUCGGGACCACUUACGGGUGAAAGACUUCCAUAGCAAAUCUGAUGCGAAGACAAACGUACACUAUUCUUAUGUCAUUAGCAUGAAAUAUAUAUUAUGAUGAAGGUGUAUCCGUAUAGUGUAAGUUGUUAUUCACUUGUGGAAUUCCAAGCCAAAAUAUUCUAUGAAUAUGAGUUGAGACUUUGACGUGUAAGCAAGGGAUGUAUCCGUUUGCCUUUACAACUUUAUCGUGGUGAGAAGUAUAGAUGGAAAUAAGAAGUACUAUAUAUUAAUGUAUGGUAUACUUCGUGUUUUGAGUGACUUUGAUUGCAUGCAUCUAAUUCUCUAAAAAAUUUCAACUUUGAAGUAUUCUAAACUAUCUACGACCUAUUUGUUUGGUGAUAUUUCUCCUCCACACCAUUGAAAUAGGUUGCAAAUUCAACUCACAGCCUUCAUUGCUUAUUUUAAAUAAACGUAAUCUUACACAUGUGAGUUAGGAUAGUUGACCGGACUAAUAUUUCCAUUUUUCUUUUCAUCGAAGUUCAAAUCCGCUAGCCUAUAUCGAAAACCUGAAUUUUACUUUUGAAGUAGUGAAUAUUUGAAGGCCCCAAAAUUUAAUCUUUGCGGUGUACAGGCCGAAUCAUGAAUUUAUCUGGGGACACAACUUCUUCGUCCUAAUUAAACUGGGCCUAUUUUUAGGCCCAUUAAACAUUUAUGUACA
RNAcentral lists this small RNA (1605 nucleotides) under Malus domestica (apple). RNAcentral's name for it is "sRNA MD15G0032600". The record is from RNAcentral. Lineage: Eukaryota; Viridiplantae; Streptophyta; Magnoliopsida; Rosales; Rosaceae.